GAUCAGAUACCGUCGUAGUCCACGCUGUAAAUGCUGGCGCCCAUGGGCUGGGUAGCCACGAGAAAUCUCUGAGGUUAUGGCCUCAUGGGGGAGUACGUUCGCAAGGCUGAAACUUAAAGAAAUUGACGGAAUGGCACCACCAGGCGUGGAGCGUGCGGUUUAAUUUGACUCAACACGGGGAACCUUACCAGGUCAGAACCCCGUUAGGAUUGACAGAUUGACAGCUCUUUCUUGAUUCGGAUGAUGGUGGUGCAUGGCCGCUCUUCGUUGGUGGAGUGAUUUGUUUGGUUGAUUCCGUGAACGAACGAGAUCUCAGCCUCUAAAUAGCUCAUCGUGCGUCUCACGAUGGAGCGAGCCAAUAGCAGGUCUGUGAUGCCCCUACUGUUCUGGGCUACAUGCGCACUACACUGACAGAGUGAGCCAGUUCCUGCUCCGAAAGGAGUGGGAAACCUUCAAAACUCUGUCGUGAUGGGGAUCGCAGAUUGCAAUUAUUCCUCUUGAACGAGGAAUGCCUAGUAGGCGCAUUUCAUCAGAGUGCACUGAUUACGUCCCUGCCAUUUGUACACACCGCCCGUCGUUGCUACCGAUUGGGCGAAGGAUAGAGGUUGGUGGGAGAAGUCCACCGAUAUCCUUUGUCUAGAGGAAGCAAAAGUCGUAACAAGGUUGCGGUAGGUGAACCUGCAGAAGGAUCA
This 692-nucleotide ribosomal RNA is filed under the name uncultured eukaryote. RNAcentral describes it as "bacterial SSU rRNA". It matches the Rfam family "Eukaryotic small subunit ribosomal RNA", at positions 1006 to 1828 of the family's 1831-position model. The record is from RNAcentral.